AGUAAAUUGGUUAAGUUAGAAAGGGCGCACGGUGGAUGCCUUGGCACUAGGAGCCGAAGAAGGACGGGACUAACACCGAUAUGCUUUGGGGAGCUGUACGUAAGCGUUGAUCCAGAGAUUUCCGAAUGGGGGAACCCACUAUCUUUAGUCGGAUAGUAUCCUUACGUGAAUACAUAGCGUGAGGAAGGCAGACCCAGGGAACUGAAACAUCUAAGUACCUGGAGGAAGAGAAAGAAAAAUCGAUUUCCUGAGUAGCGGCGAGCGAAACGGAAAGAGCCCAAACCAAGAAGCUUGCUUCUUGGGGUUGUAGGACACUCUAUACGGAGUUACAAAAGAAAGUUAUAAAUGAAGCGGUCUGGAAAGGCCCGCCAAAGACGGUAACAGCCCGGUAGUUGAAAUGGCUUUCCCUCCAGAGUGGAUCCUGAGUACGGCGGAACACGUGAAAUUCC
Molecule: ribosomal RNA, 449 nt
Filed under: Listeria monocytogenes
Lineage: Bacteria; Bacillati; Bacillota; Bacilli; Caryophanales; Listeriaceae
Description: partial 23S ribosomal RNA
Rfam family: Bacterial large subunit ribosomal RNA
Source: RNAcentral